Molecule: long non-coding RNA, 524 nt
Organism: Populus nigra (black poplar)
Lineage: Eukaryota; Viridiplantae; Streptophyta; Magnoliopsida; Malpighiales; Salicaceae
Exons: 2
Source: RefSeq, a predicted model, not a curated record
UUUUUUUUUUUAUAAAUAUUAUUCCUAUAUAUUUUUUAAAAGAGUCAAAACUAAUAAAGUAAGACCAACAAAAAAAUAAGUCAAUUAAAUCUAAUUAUGUGAAAAAAAAAUAAUAUCAAAAUUAUUAUAAAAAAUAAAAUAUUUAUUUAUUUCAUAUUAGCUUUUCAAAUGUUUUUUUUUUAUUAGAAUAUACAUGGUAAAAAAAAAACAUUUAUACUAUUUAAAAUGAUAUUUUAUCCAUUUGCAUCUUGAAGAUGCUCUGACAUGUAUUUUUAUGGGUUGUUCCUAGAUGUCUUCUUUCCUCUGAUUUGUUUCUUGAUUUGUUGGGCUUAUAAGAUUCUCUUCUUGUCAUCUUGUUUAUGUAAUAUCCAUUCAAUAUGGUUGCAAAUAAUCCAGAAUUAUGGAGGAGAGGAAAUGUCAAAGUCUUGCAAGGGACUUGCAGUGGAACUGGUCAAGCGUCCCAGUGAAUAUGAUUGUAUUAAGGUUCUUCAUUCUUUAGUAAAAUGAUGUUUUUAUCUUUAAAA